Molecule: non-coding RNA, 30 nt
Filed under: Rattus norvegicus (Norway rat)
Lineage: Eukaryota; Metazoa; Chordata; Mammalia; Rodentia; Muridae
Source: RNAcentral
UGCACGUAACAUACAGAAUAUAUGCAGGCA